UUAUCCGGGAUUUAUUGGGUUUAAAGGGUCCGCAGGCGGGCCGAUAAGUCAGUGGUGAAAUCUCAUAGCUUAACUAUGAAACUGCCAUUGAUACUGUCGGUCUUGAGUAAAUUAGAGGUAGCUGGAAUAAGUAGUGUAGCGGUGAAAUGCAUAGAUAUUACUUAGAACACCAAUUGCGAAGGCAGGUUACCAUGAUUUAACUGACGCUGAGGGACGAAAGCGAGGGUAGCGAACAGGAUUAGAUACCCUGGUAGUCCACGCCGUAAGCGAUGCUGACUCGUUUUUGGGGCGCAAGCUUCAGAGACCAAGCGAAAGUGAUAAGUUAGCCACCUGGGGAGUACGUUCGCAAGAAUGAAACUCAAAGGAAUUGACGGGGGCCCGCACAAGCGGUGGAUUAUGUGGUUUAAUUCGAUGAUACGCGAGGAACCUUACCAAGACUUAAAUGGGAAAUGACCGGUUUAGAAAUAGACCUUUCGCAAGACAUUUUUCAAGGUGCUGCAUGGUUGUCGUCAGCUCGUGCCGUGAGGUGUUAGGUUAAGUCCUGCAACGAGCGCAACCCCUGUCACUAGUUGCUAACAUUAAGUUGAGGACUCUAGUGAGACUGCCUACGCAAGUAGAGAGGAAGGUGGGGAUGACGUCAAAUCAUCACGGCCCUUACGUCUUGGGCCACACACGUAAUACAAUGGCCGGUACAGAGGGCAGCUACCACGCGAGUGGAUGCGAAUCUCGAAAGCCGGUCUCAGUUCGGAUUGGAGUCUGCAACUCGACUCUAUGAAGCUGGAAUCGCUAGUAAUCGCGCAUCAGCCAUGGCGCGGUGAAUACGUUCCCGGGCCUUGUACACACCGCCCGU
This 850-nucleotide ribosomal RNA is filed under the name uncultured bacterium. Its description in RNAcentral is "bacterial SSU rRNA". It matches the Rfam family "Bacterial small subunit ribosomal RNA", at positions 541 to 1397 of the family's 1533-position model. The record is from RNAcentral.